CGUGCACAAGCAGAGUCGGUUGAGGAGAGAGCAGUUUAGGGGGGCCUCAAUCAAAUGGCCUCGGAGGGCUUGAAAAAGUCUCCUAAGGCUCCCAAAUCUACAAAUAUGGGCUCCUCAAUACCUUUUAUGCGACUUCGGGGUACAUUAUCAUCAGAGAUCCUUGCCAAGAAGGGCUAUGAUGGCAUCAAGAUGGACGUCUAGUUCCACGACAUGAUCCUUUCUCAAUGCUGGGUAUCUUGUGUUCAGUGAUGGCGAGUGAGUGGAGCAAUGCUGGGGAUUAGGUG
Molecule: long non-coding RNA, 284 nt
Filed under: Elaeis guineensis (African oil palm)
Lineage: Eukaryota; Viridiplantae; Streptophyta; Magnoliopsida; Arecales; Arecaceae
Description: long non-coding RNA (EGUI_LNC006306)
Source: RNAcentral